AUAUCAAUAAGCGGAGGAAAAGAAACCAACAGGGAUUGCCCCAGUAACGGCGAGUGAAGCGGCAACAGCUCAAAUUUGAAAUCUGGUCCCUAGGGCCCGAGUUGUAAUUUGUAGAGGAUGCUUUUGGUGAGGUGCCGCCCGAGUUCCCUGGAACGGGACGCCACAGAGGGUGAGAGCCCCGUCUGGCUGGCCGCCGAGCCUCUGUAAAGCUCCUUCGACGAGUCGAGUAGUUUGGGAAUGCUGCUCAAAAUGGGAGGUAUAUGUCUUCUAAAGCUAAAUAUUGGCCAGAGACCGAUAGCGCACAAGUAGAGUGAUCGAAAGAUGAAAAGCACCUUGAAAAGAGGGUUAAAUAGUACGUGAAAUUGUUGAAAGGGAAGCGCUUGUGACCAGACUUGGGCGCGGCGGAUCAUCCGGGGUUCUCUCCGGUGCACUUCGCCGCGUCUAGGCCAGCAUCAGUUCGUCGCGGGGGAAAAAGGCUUCGGGAACGUGGCUCCUCCGGGAGUGUUAUAGCCCGUUGCAUAAUACCCUGCGGUGGACUGAGGACCGCGCAUCUGCAAGGAUGCUGGCGUAAUGGUCACCAGCGAC
Molecule: ribosomal RNA, 585 nt
Filed under: Trichoderma afroharzianum
Lineage: Eukaryota; Fungi; Ascomycota; Sordariomycetes; Hypocreales; Hypocreaceae
Description: LSU rRNA
Rfam family: Eukaryotic large subunit ribosomal RNA
Source: RNAcentral